GCCGGUGUAGCUCAAUUGGCAGAGCACUCGCCUUGUAAGCGAAAGGUUAGGGGUUCGAUUCCCCUCACCGGCUCCA
This 76-nucleotide transfer RNA is filed under the name Solihabitans fulvus. RNAcentral describes it as "Goodfellowiella sp. AN110305 tRNA-Thr". It matches the Rfam family "tRNA". From Rfam's summary of the family: Transfer RNA (tRNA) molecules are approximately 80 nucleotides in length. Their secondary structure includes four short double-helical elements and three loops (D, anti-codon, and T loops). Further hydrogen bonds mediate the characteristic L-shaped molecular structure. tRNAs have two regions of fundamental functional importance: the anti-codon, which is responsible for specific mRNA codon recognition, and the 3' end, to which the tRNAs corresponding amino acid is attached (by aminoacyl-tRNA synthetases). tRNAs cope with the degeneracy of the genetic code in two manners: having more than one tRNA (with a specific anti-codon) for a particular amino acid; and 'wobble' base-pairing, i.e. permitting non-standard base-pairing at the 3rd anti-codon position. Lineage: Bacteria; Bacillati; Actinomycetota; Actinomycetes; Pseudonocardiales; Pseudonocardiaceae. The record is from RNAcentral.